AAUUAAAAAUAUUUCAUUAAGGAAUUUGAUGGCCUGUGGAACAAAACAGAACUUGGAUCUGUUUUUUGUAAACAGAGGAGCACAGUAUCGUGGUCCUGAAGGCAGCAGUUCAAAUGAGGAGGCAAGGGGGUGCUUCUGAUUACCCACAAUGCUGUUUGCCUUUCUUAGUGUUCUGUUUUAUAUGUAUUUUCCAUACUUGGGAACGAAAUA
Etheostoma spectabile (orangethroat darter) is the source of this 210-nucleotide long non-coding RNA. RefSeq lists it as uncharacterized. The transcript is spliced from 3 exons. The record is from RefSeq and is a predicted model, not a curated record. Lineage: Eukaryota; Metazoa; Chordata; Actinopteri; Perciformes; Percidae.